This 434-nucleotide long non-coding RNA is filed under the name Panax ginseng (ginseng). RNAcentral's name for it is "long non-coding RNA (PGIN_LNC007990)". Lineage: Eukaryota; Viridiplantae; Streptophyta; Magnoliopsida; Apiales; Araliaceae. The record is from RNAcentral.
UUGUAACCGUCGCUAUAGGCUAUAGCGACACUUAUCUGUCGUCUUAGGUGUUUUUGAGCCUCAAGAACACUGUCAGACCAGUCACGAGUGUGUACGUUUGACCGGCUUUGAUUCUCAGUAUAUUCAUGUUCUGGGCUAGCUUAAACCUUAAUCGUGCAGUGUUUAUGUAACACUACAGUUUUCAAUCAUCAAUUAAGUCAUGCAACAAUCCAUCAAGAAGAUCUGAUCUCCCAAACUUCUUGUCAGGGCGUUUCUGGGUUUUCCCAGAAACCCAGCAGUCCGAGUGGUUAGUUUGUAGCUCGAUUUAAUAUAGGUUCCUAUCAUGAUUUAUGUGUUCUCAUGGUCCAAUCGUGUAGUUGGAAUGUCAUAGAGUAUAUAUAUAACAAUAGAUUAGUCCAACAACAAAAGAUUCACAAGAUAAAGCUUAGUCAAAC